This 239-nucleotide ribosomal RNA is filed under the name uncultured bacterium. RNAcentral's name for it is "partial 16S ribosomal RNA". It matches the Rfam family "Bacterial small subunit ribosomal RNA", at positions 524 to 760 of the family's 1533-position model. The record is from RNAcentral.
UACGGGGGGGGGCAAGCGUUGUUCGGAAUUACUGGGCGUAAAGGGCUCGUAGGCGGCCAACUAAGUCGGACGUGAAAUCCCCAGGCUCAACCUGGGAACUGCAUCCGAUACUGGAUGGCUUGAAUUCGGGAGAGGGAUGCAGAAUUCCAGGUGUAGCGGUGAAAUGCGUAGAUAUCUGGAGGAAUACCGGUGGCGAAGGCGGCAUCCUGGACCGACAUUGACGCUGACGGAGCGAAAGC